CCCCAAUAUCGACCUUCAGAUGGCUGCCCCAAUAUCAACCUUCGGAUGACUGCCCAGAUAUCAACCUUCAGAUGGCUGCCCAGCUGACCUUCGGAUGCCUCCCCAUGAUAUUCACCUUCAGCUGGCUGCCCAAAUGUCAACCUCUGAAUGGCUCCCCAGAGAUCCACCUUCGGAUGUCUCCAAGAUAUCCAACUUGAGAUGAGGUCUGAGACAUGGAGAGGAUGUGCUGAGACUCAAAAUCAUGGGCUAUGAAUCUAGUAGUUCUUUGAAAUCAACUGAGGAAGGAAUCAGCACUACUGAUAUUGACAGCUGCAGUUUAUACAAGAGAGCACCUAUGAACAGAGUUGGGUUGUGAGAGCUAAGACAGGGAGAGAAUGCAGCAAGUUAUGAUGUCGGACUUCGGGAUCUCAAGUGAUGUCUACCCAUCAAUAAGUAGAUGUCUAAGACCAGCUUCUGAUACAUGAGCUUCAC
This is a long non-coding RNA of Asterias rubens (European starfish), 471 nucleotides long. RefSeq lists it as uncharacterized. The transcript is spliced from 3 exons. NCBI's taxonomy places the organism in Eukaryota, Metazoa, Echinodermata, Asteroidea, Forcipulatida, Asteriidae. The record is from RefSeq and is a predicted model, not a curated record.